AAACUGAAAAUUCCUAGACUUCUCACUGAGAAUUGUAUAACUAUAGUCGUUUUCAAAGAGUAAAGAACAGCUGAUAUAAUUAAUCAAGGCAAAGUGGGGUGUGACAGUUAUAUAUUUUUCAAUGUUUACUCUGUAUAUGCAGCCCCUGCUCCUAGGAAUUGUGAAUAUUAUCUCUCUUUGUUGAAACUUUGGUCACUGAACAUAGUGCGAUAUGAUCAAUAGGUACCGAGACAUGGUGAACUUUAUUGCCCAAUUGGGGAUGAGGAUGCUGACAAAAAAUCCCCCAAUGUCAAUUUGGGGAUGGGGAAUUGAGUAUCAUGAUCCCGCCUUGUAGGGUUUUCAUAUGUUGAAAAUGAGAAAAUCAUUCUUAAUUUUAUAGAUAUAGUGAUAUACAUAUAAAUUUUUUUAAUCUCUUAAUAAGUAAUGUAUAAUUGUAUUUUUUAUCUUCUCUUUAAUAUAGUUUCAUUAUUUUUUCAAAUUUAAUUUUUUUUAAAGAGAGUUAAUUCUUUUUGAAUAUUUGAUAUUAUUAUUUUACAAUGUUGGGGACUCUGGAAACUCCUGGGGAAAUGGAAACAGGGAUGGGAGGCAGAA
Long non-coding RNA from Cajanus cajan (pigeon pea), 591 nucleotides. RefSeq lists it as uncharacterized. Lineage: Eukaryota; Viridiplantae; Streptophyta; Magnoliopsida; Fabales; Fabaceae. The record is from RefSeq and is a predicted model, not a curated record.